CAGAGUAAGGACAGUGCGUCAAGUGCCGCCGGAUGGGAUGUUGCCGGCGGACGAAGAAGGUGGAUUCCUUCGCGGUGCUGUGCCUGCGUCCGCUGC
Molecule: non-coding RNA, 96 nt
Filed under: pig gut metagenome
Description: THF riboswitch
Rfam family: THF (Tetrahydrofolate) riboswitch aptamer
About the family: THF riboswitch presents a pseudoknot that joins P1-P2 and the loop of P3 and two THF binding.
Source: RNAcentral